This is a small nucleolar RNA of Aotus nancymaae (Ma's night monkey), 270 nucleotides long. NCBI's taxonomy places the organism in Eukaryota, Metazoa, Chordata, Mammalia, Primates, Aotidae. The record is from Ensembl.
CAGGCUGAUGAGACUAAGGCGAAUGCGACUCCGUGCCCUCUGGCCCUUGGCUCCUUCUUGGGGGUGGGGACUACAGAUGAGAUCUGAAAUCUUGGUGGGGGUAGCCGAGGCCUGACUCCCCAUUGUAAGGCCAGAUCAAUAGCAUUGCUGGCCUUGCCUUCAUUUCUGCUGCUGCCCCCAGUUCCUGGCAGCAGCCUAUAGGGAGGCCCACAGGUGGGGUCCAAGGUAGGGCUGGGCACAAGUCAUCUGAGCGCAACCUUGGAUCUGACA